AGUGAACGCUGGCGGCAGGCCUAACACAUGCAAGUCGAGCGGCAGCGCGGGGGCAACCCUGGCGGCGAGCGGCGGACGGGUGAGGAAUUCGUCGGAAUCUGCCUUUUUGUGGGGGAUAACGUAGGGAAACUUACGCUAAUACCGCAUACGUCCUACGGGAGAAAGUGGGGGACCGCAAGGCCUCACGCAGAAAGAUGAGCCGACGACCGAUUAGCUAGUUGGUGGGGUAAAGGCCCACCAAGGCGACGAUCGGUAGCUGGUCUGAGAGGAUGAUCAGCCACACUGGGACUGAGACACGGCCCAGACUCCUACGGGAGGCAGCAGUGGGGAAUAUUGGACAAUGGGCGCAAGCCUGAUCCAGCCAUGCCGCGUGUGUGAAGAAGGCCUUCGGGUUGUAAAGCACUUUUGUCCGGAAAGAAAUCCCUGGAGCUAAUACCUUCGGGGGAUGACGGUACCGGAUGAAUAAGCACCGGCUAACUUCGUG
RNAcentral lists this ribosomal RNA (484 nucleotides) under uncultured bacterium. RNAcentral describes it as "partial 16S ribosomal RNA". It matches the Rfam family "Bacterial small subunit ribosomal RNA", at positions 29 to 507 of the family's 1533-position model. The record is from RNAcentral.